Long non-coding RNA from Zonotrichia leucophrys gambelii, 841 nucleotides. RefSeq lists it as uncharacterized. NCBI's taxonomy places the organism in Eukaryota, Metazoa, Chordata, Aves, Passeriformes, Passerellidae. The record is from RefSeq and is a predicted model, not a curated record. The transcript is spliced from 3 exons.
CAGCAUGUCAUCUGCUGAGAUGUUACUGCAUACAAGUGAAAUGGCUAAACAUCAGCUCACCUGAACAGCUGGAAAAAACUUCCUGGCUUUUCCCCACUGACAGAUUUCCAUCCAGUAACACCCAUGUCUCCCAUGUUAGAAAUCAAGGCCAGCUACUCUAAUGGAGCUCCUUAAGGAGAGUUAAAGUACUGUUCUUUUGAAAAGCCAUGCUAGAAGAGUCUUUUCAGUUAAAAUCUGCUCUGUGUUUCUCAAAAGGUUCCCAGCCCCAGGCAGAGAUCUGCCACUUAGCAUGUAAGAGUCCUCAAAAACCCCAUGGAUCCAUGCUCUUCCUACCAGCCCAGAACAAACAAGUUAAAAGAGGACUGUUCUGAUCCAAGCUCUAAACAGCUGAGCUGGGAUACACUCAGGACCGUUGCUGUCACAUGGAAAUAAUGCGUCAAGGCAUGAAAGACAAGAAAAAAAAAAAAUAAGAGAAAAAUACCCCAACAUGUGCCACUUACUGACUAAUAAGGAGGAGAUCAAUCUCAGCUGGAUCUAUCAAAUCAAUGUAAGGAAGAGCAUCCAUUCCUUCCAGCCCAGGAUGGAUUCCACAAUCAAGCUGAAAAAUGAAACAAAGUUAAAGCUUCCAGCAGAAGAAUGAUACAUGACCUUCCUACUUCUUGGCCAGCACCUCUGCAAAGGGAUAUGAAAGUCAUGAGGACUGGAACAACGCACACCGCACAGAUGUAACUACACUGGAUGCCUUUACCGCGGUUAUUUUUCUGUGCAGAGAUAACAACUGCACGGCCCUUCUAAGCCCAGCCAUCCAAAGUACCUGAGCAGCUGGAUUUAUCCCAAAGGA